GGGUUGUGAGGUUAAGCGACUAAGCGUACACGGUGGAUGCCCUGGCAGUCAGAGGCGAUGAAGGGCGUGCUAAUCUGCGAUAAGCGCCGGUAAGGUGAUAUGAACCGUUAUAACCGGCGAUACCCGAAUGGGGAAACCCAGUGUGAUUCGUCACACUAUCAUUAACUGAAUCCAUAGGUUAAUGAGGCGAACCGGGGGAACUGAAACAUCUAAGUACCCCGAGGAAAAGAAAUCAACCGAGAUUCCCCCAGUAGCGGCGAGCGAACGGGGAGGAGCCCAGAGCCUGAAUCAGCAUGUGUGUUAGUGGAAGCGUCUGGAAAGGCGCGCGAUACAGGGUGACAGCCCCGUACACAAAAGCGCAUGUGCUGUGAGCUCGAUGAGUAGGGCGGGACACGUGGUAUCCUGUCUGAAUAUGGGGGGACCAUCCUCCAAGGCUAAAUACUCCUGACUGACCGAUAGUGAACCAGUACCGUGAGGGAAAGGCGAAAAGAACCCCGGCGAGGGGAGUGAAAAAGAACCUGAAACCGUGUACGUACAAGCAGUGGGAGCACAGGUUUACCUGUGUGACUGCGUACCUUUUGUAUAAUGGGUCAGCGACUUAUAUUCUGUAGCAAGGUUAACCGAAUAGGGGAGCCGGAGGGAAACCGAGUCUUAAUUGGGCGUUAAGUUGCAGGGUAUAGACCCGAAACCCGGUGAUCUAGCCAUGGGCAGGUUGAAGGUUGGGUAACACUAACUGGAGGACCGAACCGACUAAUGUUGAAAAAUUAGCGGAUGACCUGUGGCUGGGGGUGAAAGGCCAAUCAAACCGGGAGAUAGCUGGUUCUCCCCGAAAGCUAUUUAGGUAGCGCCUCGUGAAUUCAUCUCCGGGGGUAGAGCACUGUUUCGGCUAGGGGGCCAUCCCGGCUUACCAACCCGAUGCAAACUGCGAAUACCGGAGAAUGUUAUCACGGGAGACACACGGCGGGUGCUAACGUCCGUCGUGAAGAGGGAAACAACCCAGACCGCCAGCUAAGGUCCCAAAGUCAUGGUUAAGUGGGAAACGAUGUGGGAAGGCCCAGACAGCCAGGAUGUUGGCUUAGAAGCAGCCAUCAUUUAAAGAAAGCGUAAUAGCUCACUGGUCGAGUCGGCCUGCGCGGAAGAUGUAACGGGGCUAAACCAUGCACCGAAGCUGCGGCAGCGAACGUAUCACCCAAGACAACUUUACGGAGUUGACGAUUGACGGAGCGAAGCGACGUCAAAGCGUUCAUUAAAGUCGAGUUGGCUUAGGGAUACGUUCGUUGGGUAGGGGAGCGUUCUGUAAGCCUGUGAAGGUGUGUCGUGAGGCAUGCUGGAGGUAUCAGAAGUGCGAAUGCUGACAUAAGUAACGAUAAAGCGGGUGAAAAGCCCGCUCGCCGGAAGACCAAGGGUUCCUGUCCAACGUUAAUCGGGGCAGGGUGAGUCGACCCCUAAGGCGAGGCCGAAAGGCGUAGUCGAUGGGAAACGGGUUAAUAUUCCCGUACUUGGUGUUACUGCGAAGGGGGGACGGAGAAGGCUAUGUUGGCCGGGCGACGGUUGUCCCGGUUUAAGCGUGUAGGUGUGUGUUCCAGGUAAAUCCGGUUCACUUUAACACUGAGGCGUGACGACGAGGCACUACGGUGCUGAAGCAACAAAUGCCCUGCUUCCAGGAAAAGCCUCUAAGCAUCAGGUAACAUCAAAUCGUACCCCAAACCGACACAGGUGGUCAGGUAGAGAAUACCAAGGCGCUUGAGAGAACUCGGGUGAAGGAACUAGGCAAAAUGGUGCCGUAACUUCGGGAGAAGGCACGCUGACAUGUAGGUGAAGUGAUUUACUCAUGGAGCUGAAGUCAGUCGAAGAUACCAGCUGGCUGCAACUGUUUAUUAAAAACACAGCACUGUGCAAACACGAAAGUGGACGUAUACGGUGUGACGCCUGCCCGGUGCCGGAAGGUUAAUUGAUGGGGUCAGCGCAAGCGAAGCUCCUGAUCGAAGCCCCGGUAAACGGCGGCCGUAACUAUAACGGUCCUAAGGUAGCGAAAUUCCUUGUCGGGUAAGUUCCGACCUGCACGAAUGGCGUAAUGAUGGCCAGGCUGUCUCCACCCGAGACUCAGUGAAAUUGAACUCGCUGUGAAGAUGCAGUGUACCCGCGGCAAGACGGAAAGACCCCGUGAACCUUUACUAUAGCUUGACACUGAACAUUGAGCCUUGAUGUGUAGGAUAGGUGGGAGGCUUUGAAGUGUGGACGCCAGUCUGCAUGGAGCCGACCUUGAAAUACCACCCUUUAAUGUUUGAUGUUCUAACGUGGACCCGUAAUCCGGGUUGCGGACAGUGUCUGGUGGGUAGUUUGACUGGGGCGGUCUCCUCCUAAAGAGUAACGGAGGAGCACGAAGGUUGGCUAAUCCUGGUCGGACAUCAGGAGGUUAGUGCAAUGGCAUAAGCCAGCUUGACUGCGAGCGUGACGGCGCGAGCAGGUGCGAAAGCAGGUCAUAGUGAUCCGGUGGUUCUGAAUGGAAGGGCCAUCGCUCAACGGAUAAAAGGUACUCCGGGGAUAACAGGCUGAUACCGCCCAAGAGUUCAUAUCGACGGCGGUGUUUGGCACCUCGAUGUCGGCUCAUCACAUCCUGGGGCUGAAGUAGGUCCCAAGGGUAUGGCUGUUCGCCAUUUAAAGUGGUACGCGAGCUGGGUUUAGAACGUCGUGAGACAGUUCGGUCCCUAUCUGCCGUGGGCGCUGGAGAACUGAGGGGGGCUGCUCCUAGUACGAGAGGACCGGAGUGGACGCAUCACUGGUGUUCGGGUUGUCAUGCCAAUGGCACUGCCCGGUAGCUAAAUGCGGAAGAGAUAAGUGCUGAAAGCAUCUAAGCACGAAACUUGCCCCGAGAUGAGUUCUCCCUGAGACUUAGAGUCUCCUGAAGGAACGUUGAAGACGACGACGUUGAUAGGCCGGGUGUGUAAGCGCAGCGAUGCGUUGAGCUAACCGGUACUAAUGAACCGUGAGGCUUAACCUUACAACGCCGAAG
This 3013-nucleotide ribosomal RNA is filed under the name Salmonella enterica subsp. enterica serovar Reading. RNAcentral's name for it is "23S ribosomal RNA". It matches the Rfam family "Bacterial large subunit ribosomal RNA". The record is from RNAcentral. Lineage: Bacteria; Pseudomonadati; Pseudomonadota; Gammaproteobacteria; Enterobacterales; Enterobacteriaceae.